CAGGGCACUCACUGUUCAGCGCCAGCUGGUAGCAGAGGGAAAUCCCUCCAACAGCCUGCCUUGAUAUAUCCCACGUGACAUCAUAAUUUUUAAACGUCAUCAUCAUUUACCUCUUCACAAGUCCAUACAUAGCACUGGGUACGAGAUGGGAAAUGAUCAAUGGUCUUGCUGAUUUUCUUCACUGGGGAUCGUCUUUACAUUGCAGCCGUCAAUACUGCCAUCGGAAUAAUUGGAUUUAGGUGAAUUGAUUCAGAUCGAAGAAACUCACACCCUGCAAUAUGUACGAUGCUUUGCGGAAGUGUUAUCAAAGCAGCUUUGAAUCGAAAGAUCCUCAUGCAAGAGUCUUUUGACAAAAUGUUCACUCUGCGGAAUUCUGCAAAAUUCCUUGAGAAAAAUUGGCCAGCCAGGAGGCCGUUUUUCCUACUGGUGAG
Molecule: small RNA, 431 nt
Filed under: Histoplasma capsulatum var. duboisii H88
Lineage: Eukaryota; Fungi; Ascomycota; Eurotiomycetes; Onygenales; Ajellomycetaceae
Description: Histoplasma capsulatum H88 hypothetical RNA
Source: RNAcentral